This 29-nucleotide non-coding RNA is filed under the name Rattus norvegicus (Norway rat). The record is from RNAcentral. Lineage: Eukaryota; Metazoa; Chordata; Mammalia; Rodentia; Muridae.
UCUUUACAUUUGAGUCGAGCCUUUACUAU